Molecule: ribosomal RNA, 792 nt
Filed under: Triticum aestivum (bread wheat)
Lineage: Eukaryota; Viridiplantae; Streptophyta; Magnoliopsida; Poales; Poaceae
Description: partial small subunit ribosomal RNA
Source: RNAcentral
GUUCACGUUACGAAAUUAAAGGCUAAAAUUAAGGGCUUGCUGUUUUAGAUAGGUGAGAGGAUUAGUGCCUGUACCUUCCAAAACACACGCUCGCCCCGCAUCCCACGCCCCGCGCCGGCAUCCUCCAUGCGCCUCAUCGUCGAAGCGGGAGACGUGCCGCGCCCGGCAGCGUUCGGCGGUCGAAGGGGGAGACGUGCCGCGCCCAGCCACCGCCGCAGCCCCAAUCAUCGCACUAAAAUCACGCCGCAUCCUGCCUCUUGUCCUCUCUCCUAUCAGAUGUUCGCGCAGCUGGGACACCGCUCGAGGACGCCGCCGACGCAGGAAUCCGUCCGCCACAGAAGCUGCAAAAACGGGGUCACCAGCCACCGUCACGGCCUCCCUCCCCGCCAUUCUCACGCGCACCUUCAUCGCGUCGCUGUCGAGGCCGGAUCUGAUGUUGCCCCCUCUACGUCAUCAGAAUCCUGCCAAGGCUUUCUCUCAGCUUUGUUCUCAGCAGUGGGCUCUGCUGAUGGUUUUGUCCAAAAUAAGGCAUUUCAACGGAAAUCAUAUGGCAUGCGUGGAUUAAAUCUUGAACUUUGCUACUAAAUAUUUGUACUAAACAUGGUGUAACUCGCUUGUCAGUUUUGCCUCAUAAUCCUAGCUCUCAUUGGUUGAUUUUCAUGAUGUUGCGUAUAUUUUACUGAGGUUAUCCUCUAAAAAACGAUUUUUAUAUCUGUGGUCUUUUUAGUAAUGGGCACUAUAACUUAUAAAAAUGUUGUGUAUUUCUGGACUCGCAUGUAUAGUAUUUUGAUG